UCCUACGGGCGGCAGCAGUGAGGAAUCUUGCGCAAUGGGGGAAACCCUGACGCAGCAACGCCGCGUGAGUGAGGAAGGCCUUCGGGUCGUAAAGCUCUGUCUGGUGGGAAGAAAUGCAUGACGGCGAAUAACCGCCAUGCUUGACGGUACCGCCGAAGGAAGCACUGGCUAACUCCGUGCCAGCAGCCGCGGUAAUACGGGGGGUGCAAGCGUUGUUCGGAAUUAUUGGGCGUAAAGAGCGUGUAGGCGGCUGGGUAAGUCAGAUGUGAAAGCCCUGGGCUUAACUCAGGAAGUGCAUUUGAUACUGCCCGGCUUGAGUAGGGGAGAGGGAAGUGGAAUUCCUGGUGUAGAGGUGAAAUUCGUAGAUAUCAGGAGGAACACCGGUGGCGAAGGCGACUUCCUGGCCCUAUACUGACGCUGAGACGCGAGAGCGUGGGGAGCAAACAGGAUUAGCCCUAGUAGUC
This 464-nucleotide ribosomal RNA is filed under the name uncultured Syntrophaceae bacterium. RNAcentral's name for it is "bacterial SSU rRNA". It matches the Rfam family "Bacterial small subunit ribosomal RNA", at positions 337 to 795 of the family's 1533-position model. The record is from RNAcentral. Lineage: Bacteria; Pseudomonadati; Thermodesulfobacteriota; Syntrophia; Syntrophales; Syntrophaceae.